This 144-nucleotide ribosomal RNA is filed under the name uncultured eukaryote. RNAcentral describes it as "partial 18S ribosomal RNA". It matches the Rfam family "Eukaryotic small subunit ribosomal RNA", at positions 1299 to 1458 of the family's 1831-position model. The record is from RNAcentral.
UGGUGGAGUGAUUUGUCUGGUUAAUUCCGUUAACGAACGAGACCUCGACCUGCUAAAUAGUUCAACGAAGGGUUCUCCCUUCGGAUUUGUGACUUCUUAGAGGGACUAUCGGUGUGUAGCCGACGGAAGUUCGAGGCAAUAACA